GUCAUGAGUUUUCAUUGCUGGUCUCUACUUUCCUCCCCAGAAGGCCUUAGGUAAGUGGAUGGAUGGGAUCUCAGAGCAAUGGGCAGGCGAGGUGGUCAGGCGCAGUGUGGUCAGUGUCUCCUGGCCCCAGGUGAUGACUCAGACCUGUCCCUGCCCUACCUGUACAGAAGAGCCUCAGACAAGGUCAGUCCAUGGCCUCGAGCACCUCCUACUUCCUGGGGCCCCUCAGUCCAGCUGGCUGCCCGUUCCCUAGGCUCUCCCAGCUUCCAGGGCCCACCUAGUCCCUC
RNAcentral lists this long non-coding RNA (287 nucleotides) under Bos taurus (domestic cattle). RNAcentral's name for it is "long non-coding RNA NONBTAT019167". Lineage: Eukaryota; Metazoa; Chordata; Mammalia; Artiodactyla; Bovidae. The record is from RNAcentral.